GACGAACGCUGGCGGCGUGCUUAACACAUGCAAGUCGAACGGAAAGGCCCUGCUUUUGUGGGGUGCUCGAGUGGCGAACGGGUGAGUAACACGUGAGUAACCUGCCCUUGACUUUGGGAUAACUUCAGGUAACUGGGGCUAAUACCGGAUAGGAGCUCCCGCUGCAUGGUGGGGGGUGGAAAGUUUCGGCGGUUGGGGAUGGACUCGCGGCUUAUCAGCUUGUUGGUGGGGUAGUGGCUUACCAAGGCUUUGACGGGUAGCCGGCCUGAGAGGGUGACCGGGCACAUUGGGACUGAGAUACGGACCAGACUCCUACGGGAGGCAGCAGUGGGGAAUAUUGCACAAUGGGCGGAAGCCAGAUGCAGCAACGCCGCGUGCGGGAUGACGGCCUUCGGGUUGUAAACCGCUUUGGCCUGUGACGAAGCGUGAGUGACGGUAAUGGGUAAAGAAGCACCGGCUAACUACGUG
RNAcentral lists this ribosomal RNA (468 nucleotides) under uncultured bacterium. RNAcentral describes it as "partial 16S ribosomal RNA". It matches the Rfam family "Bacterial small subunit ribosomal RNA", at positions 28 to 507 of the family's 1533-position model. The record is from RNAcentral.